RNAcentral lists this ribosomal RNA (434 nucleotides) under uncultured bacterium. Its description in RNAcentral is "partial 16S ribosomal RNA". It matches the Rfam family "Bacterial small subunit ribosomal RNA", at positions 338 to 789 of the family's 1533-position model. The record is from RNAcentral.
CCUACGGGAGGCAGCAGUAAGGAAUCUUCCGCAAUGGGCGAAAGCCUGACGGAGCAACGCCGCGUGGGCGAUGAAGGCCUUCGGGUCGUAAAGCCCUUUUCUGUGGGACGAUAAUGACGGUACCACAGGAAUAAGCCACGGCUAACUACGUGCCAGCAGCCGCGGUAAUACGUAGGUGGCAAGCGUUGUCCGGAGUUAUUGGGCGUAAAGCGCCCGUAGGCGGGGGUGAAAGUCGGGUGUGAAAUCCCCCGACCAAAGCGGGGCCCCGCGCCCGAUACUCCACUCCUGGAGGGAAGCAGAGGAAGGCGGAAUUCCCGGUGUAGCGGUAAAAUGCGUAGAUACCGGGAGGAACACCGUUGGCGAAGGCGGCCUUCGGGGCUUCUCCUGACGCUGAGGGGCGAAAGCCUGGGGAGCGACCCGGAUUAGAUACCCCG